Molecule: long non-coding RNA, 538 nt
Organism: Trachemys scripta elegans
Lineage: Eukaryota; Metazoa; Chordata; Testudines; Emydidae
Exons: 3
Source: RefSeq, a predicted model, not a curated record
GUCGCUCCAGCGUGGUCAGCUUCUCGUUAAGGGUAGCGAGCCGGGAGCGGCAGGACAUGUCUGCGGGAAGAAGGGUCGGGUCAGAGACUGCACCAGGCUCAGGCCCCGCGGUACCCGGCCAGGACAGGCCUAGAGAUAGUAAACAAUCGACGGUAAGCCGCAUGGAUUGGAGAGCUUCGUCGAACGUUGAAGCUUUGAGGAGGCAAUUGUCGAGGUGUCUGGAGACCUAAGGACCGGAGGGUUGCCCUUGAGUCCUUCAUUGAGUGAAGCACGUUGUUUGUGGCGGAAGCAAAAAGUUUUUUUACUGUCAAAGGGAAGAUCUUCAAUGGUGCUUUGGACCUCUCGAGGAAAGAAAGAGGAGGAGAGCCAUGAACCACGGCGCAUGACCACUGCUGUGGCGGUCGAUCUUGCUGCAGUGUUGGCUACAUCGAGGUCCGCUUGAAGAGCGGUACGUGAUAUGAUUUCUCCCUCGGAAACCAGAGCUGUGAAUUGUUGUUUUUUCUGUUCUGGGAUGUCGUCAAUAAAGUCCAUGAAUUUA